Melanotaenia boesemani (Boeseman's rainbowfish) is the source of this 314-nucleotide long non-coding RNA. RefSeq lists it as uncharacterized. The transcript is spliced from 2 exons. The record is from RefSeq and is a predicted model, not a curated record. Lineage: Eukaryota; Metazoa; Chordata; Actinopteri; Atheriniformes; Melanotaeniidae.
CUGCCGUACUGCAACGUUAUGUUGGUCAGAGAAAAAAGUUAAUUCACGUCCUUUCACUGUAUUUUCUGCAACAGCAAUUCACACUUUAAACUACACCUGGAGCCUCCGACGUAUUUUAGAUACUGAUGAUUGUUCGUUUCUGUCCUCUGUGGACACCAUCACGCUGGGGAGGAAAGACGGGACUGAAGAAGGACCGGACAAAGACUUGUUAUCGAGGGAAGCCUCGUGGAGAAUGAACGUUUCCUGCAGAUGUGCAGCAGCUGAUUCCAGAGGGGUUUCCUUGUAAAUGAAGUCUGGACCUAGAGUCCCAUCUC